Molecule: ribosomal RNA, 171 nt
Filed under: Solanum neorickii
Lineage: Eukaryota; Viridiplantae; Streptophyta; Magnoliopsida; Solanales; Solanaceae
Description: 5.8S ribosomal RNA
Rfam family: 5.8S ribosomal RNA
About the family: 5.8S ribosomal RNA (5.8S rRNA) is a component of the large subunit of the eukaryotic ribosome. It is transcribed by RNA polymerase I as part of the 45S precursor that also contains 18S and 28S rRNA. Functionally, it is thought that 5.8S rRNA may be involved in ribosome translocation.
Source: RNAcentral
AACACAAACGACUCUCGGCAACGGAUAUCUCGGCUCUCGCAUCGAUGAAGAACGUAGCGAAAUGCGAUACUUGGUGUGAAUUGCAGAAUCCCGUGAACCAUCGAGUCUUUGAACGCAAGUUGCGCCGGAAGCCAUUUGGCGGAGGGCACGUCUGCCUGGGCGUCACGCAUG